GGUGUGCCAAUUAAGAAAUAGAAGAACCCCAUAAAGAAAAGAGCUUUUGUGCAGCAUGUGAAUUGCCACAGAGAGACUAACGUGUUUAUUAGCUUUGACACAGCAAACAAACAAGCAGCACUGAGCCUUCAGCUCUGAAGAGAAGUAGUGCCUGACAUCUAUAAGAGGAACCUCAUCAUCCUGAACUUCAUCUACCCCCGGAACUCACAUCUCCUCAGGAGACCAUCCUCUUUUUGACUGGGUAGGGUGGAAGGUAGAUUUCUCUAUUUAAGAACAGCACCCAGUGAAGCCAUCUCUUCACUUCCCACCCAGCUGCAUCAAGUGUGGUCAUCAGUUACCUUACCAGCAUGUAUUCAAAGAUGUUGCGUCUAAGCCAACCAACCUCUCCUCUCCAGACCAACUCCUACUCAGAAGGUAGAGAUUCUACAGAGCUUAAAGAAACAGCGAUGCCUCUCAAGUUUUCCAGUGACGCAAGUACCCUUGAUUGCAUGGUCAUACUGAAGAACACCAGGACAUAACCUUUGGGGGCAGUUAAUAAAAAAGAAAGCACUUAAUAAAAUAUUUUUAAUUUA
Molecule: long non-coding RNA, 572 nt
Organism: Trichosurus vulpecula (common brushtail)
Lineage: Eukaryota; Metazoa; Chordata; Mammalia; Diprotodontia; Phalangeridae
Exons: 3
Source: RefSeq, a predicted model, not a curated record